Tachysurus fulvidraco (yellow catfish) is the source of this 828-nucleotide long non-coding RNA. RefSeq lists it as uncharacterized. The record is from RefSeq and is a predicted model, not a curated record. The transcript has 3 exons. Lineage: Eukaryota; Metazoa; Chordata; Actinopteri; Siluriformes; Bagridae.
CUGCGUAUCCCCAGCGCGUGUGAGAGGAUUCUUAAAGGAACCCAUGGCCUCAUUUAAACGAGCCCGUUUAUCCGCUUAUCAGCCUCGUUUCACAGCGUCACAGCGCGAUGUCAGGACUAACGCGUGUUUAUUCACGUCAGACAUGAAGUACAGUAUCUUAUGUUACGGGAUGUAUUGUGUAUUAAUGUACUCGGUACACUAGACUGACGCCAGUGCGUCAUGACGCAAGUAACCAAGGUGACGUAAGCGUAAGUUGCGUUUCUCUGUGCGUGUGUCUGUUUAUGAGUGAAGAUUCAUUGACUUUACUGCCUCUUUUACCGCCUCUGGCUCUGUUAUGUGCUGACGUCAGGAGCAGUGACACAGCAUAACGACAGUUAAGCGGACAGCCUUCAGGCCAUGUACAAGCAAGUGAACGUGCAGAGGAAAUGAUGCAGUUGCUGAAAAUCAGCUAAGCAGCUCACAAGUUUAACUCAACCAAAUAAAUAAAUAAAUAAGGCACACAGGGUUUUUUUUUUAAUAUAUAUAUUAUUGAGUUGAUUUUUUGUUCAGUUAAAUGAUUCGAUUCAUUCGGUCUGUGAAUGAAUGUGUUUAAUAAAAAGAAUGUUGUCUUGUGUAAACCCAGUACAGUAAGAAGAUAAGUGGUAGAAAGCUGACGAAGAAGAGACACCGUUAUCAUGCCGAAACUGAUUAUUUUCACAUGACGUCAUGUCACAAAGUGUUCUAUUCGUCUUAUCGCUGACUCUUUUGCCAUCACAAACAUGUCUAAUAAAUGCAUUUCAGAUCAGAAUUAUUUUCCUCCUCAUCCUCUGUGGACCCGUAACGGAUGAA